CUGGAGCCCCCCAUCUUUAUUUUUAUUUUUGUAGAGAUGAAGUCUCACUAUAUUGCCCAGGCUGGCCUCGAACUCCUGGGCUCAAGCAAUCCUCCUGCCUCAGCCUUCCAAAGUGCUGGGAUUACAAGUGUGAGUGACCAUGCCUGGCCAACCCACAGCUUUCAAAGCAUGCUGAUUUCAAUUGAUAUUCUGAUGCAGCCUGACUGACUCGCGGAGAAAGCCUACUUACAAAUGAAGCCAGGAUUCCACAAAGAAGGUGGCGAGAAGAAAAAGGGCCAUUCUGGCCGGGCGCGGUGGUUCAAGCCCGUAAUCCCAGCACUUUGGGAGGCCGAGGCAGGUGGAUCACGAGGUCAAGAGAUCGGGACCAUCCUGGUCAACAUGGUGAAACCCCGUCUCUACUAAAAAUACAAAAAAUUAGCUGGGCAUGGUGGCACGUGCCUGUAAUCCCAGCUACUCAGGAGGCUGAGGCAGGAGAAUUGCCUGAACCCAGGAGGCAGAAGUUGCAGUGAGCCGAGAUCUCGCCAUUGCACUCCAGCCUGGGUAACAAGAGCGAAACUCCGUCUCAAAAAAAAAAAAAAAAAAAAAAAAAAAAAAAGAAAAGAAAAAGGGCCAUUCUGCCAUCAACCAGAUAGUGACCUGAGAAUACACCAUCGACGUUCAUAAGCACAUCCAUGGAGUGGGCUUCAAGAAGCAUGCCCCUCAGGCACCCAGACAGAUUCAGAAGUUUGCUAUGAAGGAGAUGGGAACUCCAGAUGUGCACAUUGAUACCAGGCUCAGCAAAGCUGUCUAGGCCAAAGAAAUAAGGAAUGUUCCAUACCUAAUCCAUCAAAUAAAGUUAUAAAAUUGCAAAAAAAAAAAUAAAUAAAUAAAAAGAAUGAAGCCAACACCAAGGAAAACAAAGGUAUCUGCAUGUGUAUGACAGAACAAGUGACAGAGUAACAGAAGUCGCACACAUGCUCAUGAAAUAGAGAUGCACACAGAGACCUGACAACAUCCUGUGCACCUAUAUCCAGCCAAAGCAUCCGGCAGAUUUAACUUAGGAUUUUCCAGAUACAUGAACCAAUAAAUUCCCUUUUUUGUUUAA
Callithrix jacchus (white-tufted-ear marmoset) is the source of this 1084-nucleotide long non-coding RNA. RefSeq lists it as uncharacterized. Lineage: Eukaryota; Metazoa; Chordata; Mammalia; Primates; Cebidae. The record is from RefSeq and is a predicted model, not a curated record.